CACUCCUACGGGAGGCAGCAGUGGGGAAUAUUGGACAAUGGGCGCAAGCCUGAUCCAGCCAUGCCGCGUGAGUGAUGAAGGCCCUAGGGUUGUAAAGCUCUUUCACCGGUGAAGAUAAUGACGGUAACCGGAGAAGAAGCCCCGGCUAACUUCGUGCCAGCAGCCGCGGUAAUACGAAGGGGGCUAGCGUUGUUCGGAUUUACUGGGCGUAAAGCGCACGUAGGCGGACUAUUAAGUCAGGGGUGAAAUCCCGGGGCUCAACCCCGGAACUGCCUUUGAUACUGGUAGUCUUGAGUUCGAGAGAGGUGAGUGGAAUUCCGAGUGUAGAGGUGAAAUUCGUAGAUAUUCGGAGGAACCCCAGUGGCGAAGGCGGCUCACUGGCUCGAUACUGACGCUGAGGUGCGAAAGCGUGGGGAGCAAACAGGAUUAGAUACCCCUGUAGUCCCAUG
Molecule: ribosomal RNA, 449 nt
Filed under: uncultured organism
Description: partial 16S ribosomal RNA
Rfam family: Bacterial small subunit ribosomal RNA
Source: RNAcentral